Molecule: ribosomal RNA, 432 nt
Filed under: uncultured bacterium
Lineage: Bacteria
Description: partial 16S ribosomal RNA
Rfam family: Bacterial small subunit ribosomal RNA
Source: RNAcentral
AACGAACGCCGGCGGCAUGCCUAACACAUGCAAGUCGAACGAGACCUUCGGGUCUAGUGGCGUACGGGUGCGUAACGCGUGGGAACCUGCCCUUAGGUUCGGAAUAACUCCCCGAAAGGGGUGCUAAUACCGGAUAAUGUCUUCGGACCAAAGAUUUAUCGCCUUUGGAUGGGCCCGCGUUGGAUUAGCUAGUUGGUAGGGUAAAAGCCUACCAAGGCGACGAUCCAUAGCUGGUCUGAGAGGAUGAUCAGCCACACUGGGACUGAGACACGGCCCAGACUCCUACGGGAGGCAGCAGUGGGGAAUAUUGGACAAUGGGCGAAAGCCUGAUCCAGCAAUGCCGCGUGAGUGAUGAAGGCCUUAGGGUUGUAAAGCUCUUUUACCCGGGAUGAUAAUGACAGUACCGGGAGAAUAAACUCCGGCUAACUCCGU